RNAcentral lists this ribosomal RNA (483 nucleotides) under uncultured bacterium. RNAcentral describes it as "partial 16S ribosomal RNA". It matches the Rfam family "Bacterial small subunit ribosomal RNA", at positions 30 to 507 of the family's 1533-position model. The record is from RNAcentral.
UUGAACGCUGGCGGCCGGCCUAACACAUGCAAGUCGCGCGGAUGAAGGGAGCUUGCUCCUGGAUUCAGCGGCGGACGGGUGAGUAAUGCCUAGGAAUCUGCCUGGUAGUGGGGGAUAACGUCCGGAAACGGGCGCUAAUACCGCAUACGUCCUGAGGGAGAAAGUGGGGGAUCUUCGGACCUCACGCUAUCAGAUGAGCCUAGGUCGGAUUAGCUAGUUGGUGGGGUAAAGGCCUACCAAGGCGACGAUCCGUAACUGGUCUGAGAGGAUGAUCAGUCACACUGGAACUGAGACACGGUCCAGACUCCUACGGGAGGCAGCAGUGGGGAAUAUUGGACAAAGGGCGAAAGCCUGAUCCAGCCAUGCCGCGUGUGUGAAGAAGGUCUUCGGAUUGUAAAGCACUUUAAGUUGGGAGGAAGGGCAGUAAGUUAAUACCUUGCUGUUUUGACGUUACCAACAGAAUAAGCACCGGCUAACUUCGUG